This 253-nucleotide ribosomal RNA is filed under the name uncultured bacterium. RNAcentral's name for it is "partial 16S ribosomal RNA". It matches the Rfam family "Bacterial small subunit ribosomal RNA", at positions 524 to 776 of the family's 1533-position model. The record is from RNAcentral.
UACGUAUGGUGCAAGCGUUAUCCGGAUUUACUGGGUGUAAAGGGAGCGCAGGCGGCACGGCAAGCCUGAUGUGAAAGCCCGCGGCCCAACCGCGGGACUGCAUUGGGAACUACCGGGCUGGAGUGCCGGAGAGGUAGGCGGAAUUCCUAGUGUAGCGGUGAAAUGCGUAGAUAUUAGGAGGAACACCAGUGGCGAAGGCGGCCUACUGGACAGUGACUGACGCUGAGGCUCGAAAGCGUGGGGAGCAAACAGG